AUAUCAAUAAGCGGAGGAAAAGAAACCAACAGGGAUUGCCUCAGUAACGGCGAGUGAAGCGGCAACAGCUCAAAUUUGAAAUCUGGCCUCACGGUCCGAGUUGUAAUUUGUAGAGGAUGCUUCGAGCAUGGUCUGGCCUAAGUUCCUUGGAACAGGACGUCAUAGAGGGUGAGAAUCCCGUAUGCGGCCAGGUGCCUACGCUCAUGUGAAGCUCCUUCGACGAGUCGAGUUGUUUGGGAAUGCAGCUCAAAAUGGGUGGUAAAUUUCAUCUAAAGCUAAAUAUUGGCCAGAGACCGAUAGCGCACAAGUAGAGUGAUCGAAAGAUGAAAAGCACUUUGGAAAGAGAGUUAAACAGUACGUGAAAUUGUUGAAAGGGAAGCGCUUGCAACCAGACUUGCGUGCGGCCGAUCAUCCGGUGUUCUCACCGGUGCACUCGGUCGCGCUCAGGCCAGCAUCGGUUUUGGUGGUUGGAUAAAGGCCCUAGGAAUGUAGCUUCUCUCGGGGAGUGUUAUAGCCUAGGGUGCAAUGCAGCCCACCGGGACCGAGGACCGCGCUUCGGCUAGGAUGCUGGCGUAAUGGUUGUAAGCGACCCGUCUUGAAACACGGACCAAGGAGUCUAACAUCUAUGCGAGUGUUUGGGUGUCAAACCCAUACGCGUAAUGAAAGUGAACGGAGGUGAGAACCCUUAAGGGUGCAUCAUCGACCGAUCCUGAUGUCUUCGGAUGGAUUUGAGUAAGAGCAUAGCUGUUGGGACCCGAAAGAUGGUGAACUAUGCCUGAAUAGGGUGAAGCCAGAGGAAACUCUGGUGGAGGCUCGCAGCGGUUCUGACGUGCAAAUCGAUCGUCAAAUUUGGGCAUAGGGGCGAAAGACUAAUC
This 875-nucleotide ribosomal RNA is filed under the name Pseudeurotium bakeri. RNAcentral describes it as "LSU rRNA". It matches the Rfam family "Eukaryotic large subunit ribosomal RNA", at positions 40 to 936 of the family's 3401-position model. The record is from RNAcentral. Lineage: Eukaryota; Fungi; Ascomycota; Leotiomycetes; Thelebolales; Pseudeurotiaceae.